UUUUUUUUUUUUUUUUUUUUUUUUCUUG
RNAcentral lists this non-coding RNA (28 nucleotides) under Prorocentrum micans. Lineage: Eukaryota; Dinophyceae; Prorocentrales; Prorocentraceae. The record is from RNAcentral.